Molecule: ribosomal RNA, 487 nt
Filed under: uncultured bacterium
Lineage: Bacteria
Description: partial 16S ribosomal RNA
Rfam family: Bacterial small subunit ribosomal RNA
Source: RNAcentral
GAUGAACGCUAGCGAUAGGCUUAACACAUGCAAGUCGAGGGGCAGCACAAGGUAGCUUGCUAUCUGGGUGGCGACCGGCGCACGGGUGCGUAACGCGUAUGCAACUUGCCCUAUACAGGAGGAUAACCCGUCGAAAGACGGACUAGUACUGCGUAUGCUCACAACUUGGCAUCAAGUGGUGAGGAAAGAAAUUCGGUAUAGGAUAGGCAUGCGUCCCAUUAGCUUGUUGGUGAGGUAACGGCUCACCAAGGCAACGAUGGGUAGGGGAACUGAGAGGUUUAUCCCCCACACUGGUACUGAGACACGGACCAGACGCCUACGGGAGGAAGCAGUGAGGAAUAUUGGUCAAUGGGCGCGAGCCUGAACCAGCCAAGUCGCGUGAAGGAUGACUGUCUUAUGGAUUGUAAACUUCUUUUAUACGGGAAUAACAAGAGUCACGUGUGACUCCCUGCAUGUACCGUAUGAAUAAGCAUCGGCUAACUCCGUG